CCCUUAGAUGUUCUGGGCCGCACGCGUGCUACACUGAGUGGAUCAGCGGGUCAGGUUGCGCGAAAGCGUUUCCUAAUCUUGAAAUCCGCUCGUGAUGGGGAUUGACGGUUGCAAUUUUCUGUCAUGAACGAGGAAUACCUUGUAAGCGCGGGUCAUCAUCCCGCGCUGAAUACGUCCCUGCCCUUUGUACACACCGCCCGUCGCUCCUACCGAUUAAGUGGUCCGGUGAGGCUUUGGGAUCUGAGCGGAAAGAGCGUUUCGCUCGUUCUGCCCGGAAAACUCAGUCGAACCUUAUCAUUUAGAGGAAGGAGAAGUCGUAACA
This 322-nucleotide ribosomal RNA is filed under the name uncultured eukaryote. RNAcentral's name for it is "partial 18S ribosomal RNA". It matches the Rfam family "Eukaryotic small subunit ribosomal RNA", at positions 1470 to 1796 of the family's 1831-position model. The record is from RNAcentral.